This 567-nucleotide ribosomal RNA is filed under the name Saccharomyces cerevisiae (brewer's yeast). Its description in RNAcentral is "partial large subunit ribosomal RNA". It matches the Rfam family "Eukaryotic large subunit ribosomal RNA", at positions 82 to 666 of the family's 3401-position model. Lineage: Eukaryota; Fungi; Ascomycota; Saccharomycetes; Saccharomycetales; Saccharomycetaceae. The record is from RNAcentral.
AGUACGGCGAGUGAAGCGGCAAAAGCUCAAAUUUGAAAUCUGGUACCUUCGGUGCCCGAGUUGUAAUUUGGAGAGGGCAACUUUGGGGCCGUUCCUUGUCUAUGUUCCUUGGAACAGGACGUCAUAGAGGGUGAGAAUCCCGUGUGGCGAGGAGUGCGGUUCUUUGUAAAGUGCCUUCGAAGAGUCGAGUUGUUUGGGAAUGCAGCUCUAAGUGGGUGGUAAAUUCCAUCUAAAGCUAAAUAUUGGCGAGAGACCGAUAGCGAACAAGUACAGUGAUGGAAAGAUGAAAAGAACUUUGAAAAGAGAGUGAAAAAGUACGUGAAAUUGUUGAAAGGGAAGGGCAUUUGAUCAGACAUGGUGUUUUGUGCCCUCUGCUCCUUGUGGGUAGGGGAAUCUCGCAUUUCACUGGGCCAGCAUCAGUUUUGGUGGCAGGAUAAAUCCAUAGGAAUGUAGCUUGCCUCGGUAAGUAUUAUAGCCUGUGGGAAUACUGCCAGCUGGGACUGAGGACUGCGACGUAAGUCAAGGAUGCUGGCAUAAUGGUUAUAUGCCGCCCGUCUUGAAACGGAC